Passer domesticus (house sparrow) is the source of this 811-nucleotide long non-coding RNA. RefSeq lists it as uncharacterized. NCBI's taxonomy places the organism in Eukaryota, Metazoa, Chordata, Aves, Passeriformes, Passeridae. The record is from RefSeq and is a predicted model, not a curated record. The transcript is spliced from 3 exons.
ACCAAGAGCCAGCGUGUUUGUGAUGAGAUCCUAAAAGAGCAGAGUUACAGCUAAGACAUUUUUCUUCUAACAGCUGUGCCAUUCCUGAGCUCCAAAAGCUUGGGGUUACAAUUACAUCCUUGGGAAUGAGCCCACUCUCAGAUUACUGGGAGUAGCACAGUGAAUGUGAGACACAUCUCUGCAUCAGAGCACAGCAGCAUGGAGACACUUCUGAGCCCUUUUUAGAUGAAGAACUGAGCAGGCUCCAGGACUGGAGAAGUAAAAGAAGAAAUACCAGGAGCUGUCUUUGCCAAAUAAUGUUCUGGUGAACUCCAGAAUCCUCAUAAAUGGACCACAAACAUGGUGAUGUAGUAUUUCUGAUAAAGUGGACCAAGAGAAAAGCAAGUCUGCUGAGAGGCCUGGCUUUGCAGGAACAAGGGGACGCAUUCAGACUGCCACAGAAGGAGUGCAAAACCAAAAACAUGUCUCUUUCUAGGGUAAACAAAAGCUCUGACUUAUAAUGAGGAUCCGCUUUCUGGAAAUGACAUUGUUGGCAAUGGGACGGUGGAACUUUGGAAAAGUCAUUAAAACAGCCUGCCCUUCCUGAAAAAGUAUCCCUUUGCAAGCCAUCUGCUCAGCCUGGAAAAGCUUUGUUCUUCUCAGAGGUCAUCUGAGGAUUUGAAAGGAAAGAACAUAAUCAAAAUCAUGCAGGGACAGCACUUCAUGCCAGGCCAACAACCAGCCUAGACCUGCCAUCAAAGAUGCAGGAGCAGAGUCGAUCUCAGAGCUCAUGUGGGGUGGCAAUAAAGUCUGCUACACGAGCAAACUUUGU